AGAGUUUGAUCAUGGCUCAGAACGAACGCUGGCGGCGUGGAUAAGACAUGCAAGUCGAGCGGGAUUUUUUCUUGUAGCAAUACGAGGAAAAGUCUAGCGGCGAACGGGUGCUUAACACGUGGGCAACCUGCCAUGAAGUGGGGGAUAGCUCGUCGAAAGGCGAAUUAAUACCGCAUGUGAUUAGAGUGGACAUCCAUUCAAAAUUAAAGUCGGGGCAACCUGACGCUUCUUGUGGGGCCCGCGGCCUAUCAGCUAGUUGGUGAGGUAACGGCCCACCAAGGCUUUGACGGGUAGCUGGUCUGAGAGGACGACCAGCCACACUGGGACUGAGACACGGCCCAGACACCUACGGGUGGCAGCAGUCGAGAAUUUUUGACAAUGGGGGAAACCCUGAUCGAGCGACGCCGCGUGGAGGAUGAAGGUCUUCGGAUUGUAAACUCCUGUCAUUGGGGAACAAUGCACAGAUAUUAACUGUAUUUGUGUUGAUAGUACCCGAAGAGGAAGAGACGGCUAACUCUGUGCCAGCAGCCGCGGUAAUACAGAGGUCUCAAGCGUUGUUCGGAUUCAUUGGGCGUAAAGGGUGCGUAGGCGGCGCGGUAAGUCGGGUGUGAAAUCUCGGGGCUUAACUCCGAAACUGCAUUCGAUACUGCCGUGCUUGAGGACUGGAGAGGAGACUGGAAUUUACGGUGUAGCGGUGAAAUGCGUAGAUAUCGUAAGGAAGACCAGUGGCGAAGGCGGGUCUCUGGACAGUUCCUGACGCUGAGGCACGAAGGUCAGGGGAGCAAACGGGAUUAGAUACCCCGGUAGUCC
RNAcentral lists this ribosomal RNA (810 nucleotides) under uncultured bacterium. Its description in RNAcentral is "bacterial SSU rRNA". It matches the Rfam family "Bacterial small subunit ribosomal RNA", at positions 8 to 796 of the family's 1533-position model. The record is from RNAcentral.